This 105-nucleotide small RNA is filed under the name Mus spicilegus (steppe mouse). RNAcentral describes it as "7SK RNA (ENSMSIG00000010962.1)". It matches the Rfam family "7SK RNA", at positions 2 to 107 of the family's 331-position model. Rfam says of the family: 7SK was discovered as an abundant small nuclear RNA in the mid-70s but a possible function has only recently been suggested. Two independent studies have found that 7SK RNA binds the CDK9/cyclin T complex (known as elongation factor P-TEFb). Lineage: Eukaryota; Metazoa; Chordata; Mammalia; Rodentia; Muridae. The record is from RNAcentral.
GAUGUAAGGACGAUCAGAGUGUGACAUCUUGUCACCCCUUGGAUCUCUAAAGUUGAUUCAGCUGGCCUGGCUUGGUAGGCUGCCAUCUCCUUCCUCCCUCUGCUC